Molecule: ribosomal RNA, 218 nt
Filed under: uncultured bacterium
Lineage: Bacteria
Description: partial 16S ribosomal RNA
Rfam family: Bacterial small subunit ribosomal RNA
Source: RNAcentral
UACGAAGGGGGCUAGCGUUGUUCGGAUUUACUGGGCGUAAAGCGCACGCAGGCGGAUUGGUCAGUUAGGGGUGAAAUCCUGGAGCUCAACUCCAGAACUGCCUUUAAUACUGCCAGUCUCGAGUCCGGAAGAGGUAAGUGGAACUCCUAGUGUAGAGGUGGAAUUCGUAGAUAUUAGGAAGAACACCAGUGGCGAAGGCGGCUACUGGUCCGGUACUG